RNAcentral lists this ribosomal RNA (497 nucleotides) under uncultured bacterium. RNAcentral describes it as "partial 16S ribosomal RNA". It matches the Rfam family "Bacterial small subunit ribosomal RNA", at positions 28 to 507 of the family's 1533-position model. The record is from RNAcentral.
GAUGAACGCUGGCGGCGUGCCUAAUACAUGCAAGUCGAGCGAACGGACGAGAAGCUUGCUCCUCUGAUGUUAGCGGCGGACGGGUGAGUAACACGUGGAUAACCUACCUAUAAGACUGGGAUAACUUCGUGAAACCGUAGCUAAUACCGGAUAAUAUUUUGAACCGCAUGGUUCAAAAGUGAAAGACGGUCUUGCUGUCACUUAUAGAUGGAUCCGCGCUGCAUUAGCUAGUUGGUAAGGUAACGGCUUACCAAGGCAACGAUGCAUAGCCGACCUGAGAGGGUGAUCGGCCACACUGGAACUGAGACACGGUCCAGACUCCUACGGGAGGCAGCAGUAGGGAAUCUUCCGCAAUGGGCGAAAGCCUGACGGAGCAACGCCGCGUGAGUGAUGAAGGUCUUCGGAUCGUAAAACUCUGUUAUUAGGGAAGAACAUAUGUGUAAGUAACUGUGCACAUCUUGACGGUACCUAAUCAGAAAGCCACGGCUAACUACGUG